This 186-nucleotide ribosomal RNA is filed under the name uncultured rumen bacterium. RNAcentral describes it as "partial 16S ribosomal RNA". It matches the Rfam family "Bacterial small subunit ribosomal RNA", at positions 340 to 524 of the family's 1533-position model. The record is from RNAcentral.
UACGGGAGCAGCAGUGAGGAAUAUUGGUCAAUGGGCGCGAGCCUGAACCAGCCAAGUAGCGUGCAGGAUGACGGCCCUAUGGGUUGUAAACUGCUUUUAUGCGGGGAUAAAGUCGGCUACGUGUAGCCGUUUGUAGGUACCGCAUGAAUAAGGACCGGCUAAUUCCGUGCCAGCAGCCGCGGUAAU